UGUUUUGAAAGAGGUAUCAUGGUGGUCGCUCAACAGGUUCCCGGAAGUCACGGAGAAUUCUGGGAGAUUUGUGCUAGCGUUGUAAACAUUCUUGUGGAUUCGGCGAAAGACAGCCAUGUAUAGAAGCCGACAAGCACACCAAGACCAACAACUACGUUGAGAAAGAAAGCUGUAUACGGAAGCAGGCAACAUCACCAAAGCAACGUCGGAAGCGGACACCAACUGGUUUGCCCGACAGGACCAGGAUGAAAAAGCUGAGCGAUAUGACAAGGGGGAUUGAACAACUUGAGACCUGCCACAUCACACAGCAGGAAAGUUUUGCAUCUGGCCAGUCAGCGGAGCAGAAACGUAUCCAGGACGAUCACUUGGAGCCGGGCGCCUCUCUGUAAUCCAAGAGAAACAAAAAGUUAUGUCAUUCCAAGACGCCAUCACCCUUUAAUCUGUAAAAACCGAAGGGAGGUCCAGGGCAAUAAUACCAAGGUCCUCCAGACGGCAUGGGUGCAGUUUCCCGCCCCAUUUAAUUGGAAUUUUUUUUAUUAAAUCAAUAGUUAAAAAUAUAUAAUAAAAUACAAUAAUAUAAAUAUUAAAAAACCGAGCAUGCUUGUAAACAUUUAUACAAAUAUAAUUUUAAAAACACAAAAUUUCCAAUAUAAAUUUACAUAUAAUAUAUACAGUAGCCGGUGAACCAUAGGGAAAUGUCUAACUGCCAGGUUAGACACUUCACAAUUAAACACCCAAGCUGACACAUACAUCAUAUCAU
This is a long non-coding RNA of Gigantopelta aegis, 760 nucleotides long. RefSeq lists it as uncharacterized. The transcript is spliced from 3 exons. The record is from RefSeq and is a predicted model, not a curated record. NCBI's taxonomy places the organism in Eukaryota, Metazoa, Mollusca, Gastropoda, Neomphalida, Peltospiridae.